CAGCAUCCGAGGGCCAUGAAAAUCGACGUUUCAGGAGAGAUCCGGUCCUGGAGGAUGGAAAAUAGUCACAUUGUUCCUUUGUGCAAGAGGAGCAACAGGCAUAAGAAGGGAAAUUACAGGCUGGUGAGCCAUUCGUCAAUGGUAGAUAAUAAUUGGAGAAGAUUCUUAAGGAUUUAACACUUCUAUCUCUGGGACUGUCUUUGGAGAUGAAGAGAGAAGGUAGCGAUAAUUAAUCCAGUGCAGAUCCAUGGAGGUGGCGGUGGAGGCGAAUUUGGGCUCAGUACGAGACCUGGCAAUAUCAGCAGUGACUGUAUCAGCAAGGUGGGUCUGAUGUGGAUUUGUCAUGGUGGAGUGAAGUUUGAGUCUGUGGAGUACCUGGCAGCCUCAGUGGCAUCUGCAUUGACAAGUUUCAGGGAAGACUCAUAGUGGCAAGGGUGUCAGUCAAGGGUCGUCACCAGAGGAAGAGACAGAGCGCCGUGGGGAAAAAGGAGGGCAGCACCGCCCAAGCAGGAAAAGACGAUCCCUCUGAGGGGAUGGGUAAAGGCCUCCCCCCACGCGGUGAGAACCGAGAGGUACCACCGGCCCACAGCUCCAGGUAACUGGGAGCAGCGGUCCUGUGACAGCCCCGCUGUCAGAUGGAGAACUAGACGAUGCGGAUCCUGGGUCCGACCCGAAGACACCAGAGCGGGGAAAUGGCCCCAGCGUGGAGCCGGACAGCUACCUCAGCCCUG
This is a non-coding RNA of Chiloscyllium plagiosum (whitespotted bambooshark), 731 nucleotides long. The record is from RefSeq and is a predicted model, not a curated record. NCBI's taxonomy places the organism in Eukaryota, Metazoa, Chordata, Chondrichthyes, Orectolobiformes, Hemiscylliidae.